RNAcentral lists this ribosomal RNA (495 nucleotides) under uncultured bacterium. Its description in RNAcentral is "bacterial SSU rRNA". It matches the Rfam family "Bacterial small subunit ribosomal RNA", at positions 29 to 518 of the family's 1533-position model. The record is from RNAcentral.
AUGAACGCUAGCGACAGGCCUAACACAUGCAAGUCAGGGGCAGCACAAGGAGCAAUCUGAGGUGGCGACCGGCGCACGGGUGAGUAACACGUAUGCAACCUGCCUGUAAGCGGGGAAUAACCCGUUGAAAGACGGACUAAUACCGCAUAAUACUAAAUUACUGCAUGGUAAUUUAUUUAAACAUUUUAUGGCUUACAGAUGGGCAUGCGCAUGAUUAGCUAGUUGGAGAGGUAACGGCUCCCCAAGGCAACGAUCAUUAGGGGUUCUGAGAGGAAGGUCCCCCACACUGGUACUGAGACACGGACCAGACUCCUACGGGAGGCAGCAGUGAGGAAUAUUGGUCAAUGGACGAGAGUCUGAACCAGCCAAGUCGCGUGCAGGAAGAAUGUCCCUAUGGAUUGUAAACUGCUUUUGCAGGGGAAUAAAGUGCAUCACGUGUGAUGUUUUGUAUGUACUCUGCGAAUAAGGAUCGGCUAACUCCGUGCCAGCCGCCGC